UACGUAGGGUGCGAGCGUUGUCCGGAAUUAUUGGGCGUAAAGGGCUCGUAGGCGGUUUGUCGCGUCGGGAGUGAAAACCAGGUGCUUAACACCUGGCUUGCUUUCGAUACGGGCAGACUAGAGGUAUGCAGGGGAGAACGGAAUUCCUGGUGUAGCGGUGAAAUGCGCAGAUAUCAGGAAGAACACCAAUGGCGAAGGCAGCUCUCUGGGCCGUAACUGACGAUGAGGAGCGAAAGCAUGGGGAGAGAACAGG
Molecule: ribosomal RNA, 253 nt
Filed under: uncultured bacterium
Lineage: Bacteria
Description: partial 16S ribosomal RNA
Rfam family: Bacterial small subunit ribosomal RNA
Source: RNAcentral